This 4092-nucleotide long non-coding RNA is filed under the name Equus asinus (donkey). Its description in RNAcentral is "lncRNA (ENSEASG00005034824.1)". The stretch from base 448 to 533 matches the Rfam family "mir-365 microRNA precursor family". Lineage: Eukaryota; Metazoa; Chordata; Mammalia; Perissodactyla; Equidae. The record is from RNAcentral.
GAAACAGCUGCUUGCUUUGCAGAUACUUUCCCCUGGGUUUCCAGGUUCAUUAACUUUCCUGCAUUCCGGAGGAGGAGGUAUUGAUGGAUUCGGGGUCCCCUUAGAUCAUUAAUGAGAGUUCGGAAUCAUCAUUUGGGGUCUUGGGGAAAUGUUCCAGGUCCCUAAGAGUUGCCUGGUGUUAGGGAAUCAGCCUUGGAAGCUGGUUUUCCAGGUCUUGGUUGUCUGGGCACAGCGGAGGCGGCCGUAUCAAAGCCACUGUGUGGAGGAGACACAUUGAGCCAAUGAUCAGCCAGUAAUUCUCAGCCUUGGGGGAGCCUGGUGGGGCCGCCAUACACUGUGAUAGCGUUGCUUGGUUUAAAGGUUCCUCUAACUUUGCGCACUUUUUCCUUUUUAGUUUUGGCUCUUGGGACUCUGAGAGCCACCCCUUCCUGCCCGGCUGGCUCGUUACCGCAGGGAAAAUGAGGGACUUUUGGGGGCAGAUGUGUUUCCAUUCCACUAUCAUAAUGCCCCUAAAAAUCCUUAUUGCUCUUGCAGUAUUCUUCGGGGGUCCCUGGGCCAGCCGGGCGCGUGGGGAAGACGGCAGCUCUGAGUGCCUCCAGCAACUAGAAGAAGAGAGAAAGAAGUUCCCCCACAUUCUCCCUUCUGGUCCCUGGUCCAUCUCCCCUCAGAGCUCAGAACUGUUCACUGCCCGAAAAGUAAAAAGACACCAUCCACAGACACUGGUGGCUCAACGUGCCUUUUGCCCUCCGGGGGCAGAAUGUUGGAGAUCAGGCCUGGGAACAGCAGGGCAGCUGUGGCUGCUGUCAGCGUUUGCUCUGGGGGUUUGUCAGGGGAGGUGGGGAAAGUGGAAGAGAAACAAGUGUUACCUGUUUGACGAGGCAGGCGUAUUUCACCGUUCAGCCUGGUCCUUCCAGUGGGGCCUCUGGGAUCCUCACCUUGGCAGGGGGCCCUGGGCAGUCCUGGCUUGCUCACCUGCUCCUGAGACAGGCCACUUUCCCACUCUCUGCCUCGGUUUCCCUGUCUGCCAAGGGAGGGGCAGCACCCCAUGCUCUUGGCCUCAAAGGGUUCUUGGUUGUACCCAACAUUAUAAUGAGCUCAAGUGAUACGCAAGCUCCGAAGCUGCUUGGAAAAUGGGGAAGUCAAGUUAUUAAACAUGGGAGGUGUUGGUGCUAAUGUUUACUAAUACACACCUAACGUGCUGAGACAGUUCAGACAGGAGGGGAGACUGUCGCCCAACAGUGUAAGCACCGGUUUCUGGAAUCAGCCAGUCAGAACUCUGAGACUCUUUUGCUGUGUCACCCCAGGCAAGUGACUCAACCUCUCUGGGCCUCCAUUUCCUCACACAUGAAACCCACGUUUUGGAACAGAAGUUUGCCAAGUCUGAUAUGCACAUCUACUCAAUGAGUUUAAGUGGUACCUGGCUAAAGAUGGAAAUUAUUCUCAUAGGUAUUUCUUUGUACAGCUUAUCUCUAUUUAUGGCAAGCAGUUUGUUUUCGGUUUAGGGUAGGGAUAGAAAGGCCUUUUUUUAUACCAAUUUAUGCAGGUAAAGAUAGAUGAGUUGCUGGAAAGAAAAGCAUUAAGCAAAUAAUAAUACAGGUGGCCUGAGGAUGGGGCAGAAAUCAAGAUGCCAGUUUGCAAAGUUUCAUACGUCGGCUUACUUAAGAAUUCUUGUUUGUCUUGGGAGUUUUGCAUCCACAUAGUUGGUGUGGGGAGGAGAUGGGUGGGUUGCUAAUUCAAAUCUCUGGAGGGCUCCACCAUGAUAGUCUGAGUGUCACAAGUCUUCCCUUCUCGGGGGGAUGGGAGGGGGCCCACCUCUCUGCUCACCGAUGCCAGGGAGACCCCUCAGACCUCCAGCCCUGCACUGACCCCUAGCUUUGACUUGUCUCAUUUUAGGAUCACGAUGACCCAGUGCCCUCCUUCCUGGCCAGGGCACCUCUCUGGGCCUCAGUUUUCUCAGUGAAAUGGGGAGAAUAACAAACUCUGUCCCAUAGCUGUGUGUGAAGAUGGAAGGGUUAACAGGGCUCCAUCGGGCGCUGAUCCUUCACAAACAGCACCCACUCGGAGGGCAGUGGGCCCCAGCGGCGCUGGACACGCGGGGGGCGCUCCUUCCACAGGCCACCCUGCGCCACCCGGCACCAGCUCCCUGCCCACCCCCUGGGAGGGUGGCUUUGCAGGGAAACAGCAGGCAGCCAGCAGGGGCGGACUCUGGUUUCACUUUCUGCUGUGUCAUGGAGUCGGGGGUGGCAUCGGGGCCCAGCUGGCCAGCUGGGGCGGGCACCGAGAGGCCAGCGGACAGCUGCCGGCCCAGCUGCCAGAGCACAAGCCGCGCCCCCCUGCGGCCUGCCAGGGUGGGGGCUGGGUCCUCGGGUGCCCCUUAAGGGCCUCUCCUCCCACACGGUGGGGAGAACCCCAGGCGAGAAAAGCCAGGAGCGGGUGAGAUCGUUUCUUGAGCUGUGGGAUCCCCCAAAAGCAACUUCUCAAGUCACGCAGCCUUGAAGUUCUGAGAAGUGCAGCUGUGGGUUCUGGAUCAGGGUGUGCUGGCUGGACACCUGCUCCCUGCCUCCCUUCACUGGGCACAUGGUGGGUGAGGGCCUACUGUGUGCUAAGCAGUGUGCCAGGUGCCGGGGGUACAACAGGGAGCAGGACAGCCCCUGCCCUCAUGGGGCUCCCAGUUAAGUCUGGGAGAUGGACAAAAGAGCGAGCAAGAGAGAAUCCCGCGUUAUGGGGGAAAUUCCAGCCUGAACGUCUGGUGCUAGCAUCUCAGGGCAGGGGCGUGCCUGCGUAUGCACCUAUGUGUGUCAGCAACGUGUCACCUCCUGGGACACAACGUUUCCCCGUCUGUAGGUGCAAGAAUGAGAGUAUUUACAUGGUAGCGCUGCGGCGAGGAUGAAAUAAACGAGCGUCCGUAGAGAAUGGAGGACAGCGCCUGGCAUCGACCGUGUGCUGUCCACAGGUCUGAGUAAAUCCUGCUCGCAGCUUCCGGGUUUGUAGACAGCCAGCGUGGAUCUCAAAGCAAAGGCCCAAUUUACGACUGAGGUCGGUCUCAGCAGUGAGCUUAGAAGCAGCAAAGCCAGGAGAAGGCUCCAGAGGAGCGACUGCCCAGUGUUCUUCCAAAAGGUUGUAUCAUUCACACGCCCAUCAACGGUGUACGUGCUGUUUCCAGCACCCUCGCCCAACCUGGCAAAGACGCGGUGUGUCAGGGGAAGCAAAUCCUAAAUGAGGCUGACACCUCGGGUGCCAAGUUUCUAGGGGAAACGAAAUUCUCCUCUGAGAUUAUAAACCACUAGAGAGAAGAUGGAAAUGGAAAAGCCACCGCGAGUCAGCUUCACACAUCCAGAACUGGGCUGCUAAGAGCUGUCUCUUUCUGUCUUAGCUGCGGAGAAACCUGCCAGUAAUUUCAGCAAAUGAAACGUGGGCCGCAGAAAGGCCAGAGGAUGGAAGAUGCUCCGGUUUUGACAAAAGGAGGUCUGCUCAGCUUGGAAUCCUCUCUCCUGUGAGUCAGGAGAUGGAAAGCUAUAUCCAGAGGGGCUGAUGAAUUGAGAGAAAAAAGAAACGAGGCCAGUCCCCUGACUCAGCAGUGACACAUGAAUGAUGCUCCAUAAGUAGUCAUCCCAUGGACCAACCAAUGCCACCGUCACCUCCGACCCGGCCUCCUGCCGAAAUCACAGAAACCCUUUAUAGCCACCCUGACACCCAGUUCCCAUUUCAGACAGGCUGGUAUCCAUGAUGUCACGUGAUAGAAGAUGAUUCCAGAAAAAGACUGGCCAAGAGGCUCCUGGAGGGAGAGAUGGCAGCCAGGAUUGGGAGGUUUUUUUCUUUAUUAUACCUGUUCUGUCCACUAUUUCCUGGCUCUGUUCACAUCGCUGCUCCAGCACCAGCUCAGGGAAAAAAACGAAACAAAACAUGAGCCCCAGAAUUUGAGACAAGAUAGCUGGCUGGUUUCCUCUCUGCUUGUAAUUAAUGCUGGAAAUGUUCAUGACUUGCCUUGGCCGCAAAGGUAAUAAUAAAAGUCUGCAGCCUGAUUAUUUGGCUACUAAUUCCCUUCUUGGUGUUUUUCUUCCCCUUUCCUUAAAUUACUUCCAGAGUUCGUCC